CCCACGCCCGCCAGGCCGCCUGCCCCGCCCCGGCCUGGCCGCCCAGAGCGCGAAGGAGGGGGAUAAAUAAAUUCAACUGUUACCGGAAUCCGGGGGGCGUCUGCGAGACACCCAGGGGGAAGGGGGGCCGGCGCCCAUUCCCCACUCCUAGGCCCUGACGCCCCUGUCCCGGCAGCCCGGGCCUGCCGCCCCGCGGGAGAGCCUCAGGGCCGGCGCCUGAUUCCGCCCCGCAGCGCCGCCGUCCCGCUUGGAGGCCCCGGGGGACUCCAGGGGGCGCGUGCAGGCCCGGGGUGCGGGGGCAGGGCGCGGCUGCCGCGGGGCCCGCCGGCCCGAGGCCUAGCCGGCGAGCCCCCUCCCGCCGCACACCCCCACCCCGGCCCGCGCAGGCCGCGCCACCCAGCCCGCUCCCGCCCCGGCGGGACCCCCGCCCGCCCGUCCGCCAGCCUUUGGUCGCCGCCGGCGGACGCCCCGAGGCCCGUAGGCCCCAGGCCCCCGCCACCCCAGCGCCGGCCCCACUCACCCUUUCAUUCUCCGCCCCGGGCCUGGCGUGGGCCGGCAAAUCCCCGGCCUCACGCUGACAGAUCAGAGUGAGAGGCGCUGGCAAUGGACUAGGAAGCUCGGCUGCUGCUGCUACUGCUCCCCCCUGGGCUUCGGCGAGAGCCUUUCCCUGUCAAGCAAGAGGGGUGAGGAUCAUAUUUUUAUUUUGGAAAGUAAAAAGUGCUCCCAGGGUCGGUGAUUAUUAAGGGGAAAUCCCUGAAUAUACUCUCCAGCCAAGAAGGCAGGGCUGCCGGGGCUGCACAAGAAGAGGCAGCAGCCUCCUACAGCACCACUACAGGCACUGCGAGGACAUAACACCAGAGAGUGGCUCCUCUGCCCUCCGAAACGACAACUUUCCUACCAUCUUGGAGGCAGAGCAAAGGGGGGCCAGGGGGAAAAGUGCACUCGCUCCCGAUAAAGUACACGUUUCUACUUCUCACCUCUGGAAAAAAGUCCACACCGGCCGUCGACACCGGCGCCUGGGGGAAAAAGCAGGAAAGAAACUGAGGGUUCUUGAGAAACGUGUUCAUUUGCUCCAGGGGGGAAUGUGUUUCUGCAUCUUCUGAUGGGAAGAAAUCUUUACAAGACACAGGUUUUCCGGUUUAAGUUCUGUGUCUGGGAGACAGUUUAUAAAUUUGUACUUCAAGAGGCUUCAUAGUCAUUUUGUCUACUUAUGUUACGAUAUAUAUAAAUAUUUAUGUUUCUCAUAUAUACAUAUAUAGGCAUCUAUCUGUGUUACAUAUUCUACUCCAAACUGAGAUUGAUUGCUGUAAGACAAUUGUAAAGAGAUGUCUUUUGUCUCCUCCUCGCAAAGCAAUGUAAAUAAAACCUAUUGACUUCCCAGAAAGGCAUAAUACAGCUGUUUAUUUUUCACAGUGCAAAUAAAAGCAGACAUCACUGGGGGUUUAAAUCCAACCCUAUGUUUCUGGAAAUAAUCCUAAUUUUAUUGCGGUCUGCCCAUGAAGGAAAGUUACUGUAAACCUGGAAAUAGAUCUUAAAGACGGCUUUAGGUUUCUUUAAGGAAAAUUAUUAAGAAUGAUAAAUUUCAUUUUAAUCUAUCUUAGAGUCCUUAAAGUUUAGGUUUUUGUAUUACACGUGUUGCUCUCUGCUUCCUGUAUCACAGAAUUGAGAAUUCUGUUUAUUUUUGUUAAAGUUGAAAUGUUAGAUCAGAACUUUCAGUGUACUGCCUGUCUAUAUGAAUGACUUUUCAUAUAUUACAACAGAUGUCAUGAAGUUUUUUUUUUAAUGAGCAAAACA
Molecule: long non-coding RNA, 1794 nt
Organism: Sciurus carolinensis (gray squirrel)
Lineage: Eukaryota; Metazoa; Chordata; Mammalia; Rodentia; Sciuridae
Exons: 3
Source: RefSeq, a predicted model, not a curated record